This 259-nucleotide non-coding RNA is filed under the name Protocruzia adhaerens. Lineage: Eukaryota; Ciliophora; Spirotrichea. The record is from RNAcentral.
AAAGAAGUUGAAAUGGAUGAGUAAGCGCUUGAUGCUUCCGUUCUUUUGUUGAUGUUUUUUUCUUUUUAGAUUUUUCUUUUCCCUUGUUUUUAUUCUAUUUCUGCUAGGAUGACUCCGUUUCUCUCUUUUAAGUUGGUUGUCUGUCCUCCUCAUCUCUUAAAGGAAAACAAGUGAGUAUAUUCCUUUCGACUUUGCUCAGGUCAAAAAAUAAACUUUCUUUCUAUGAAAAGAGACCUAAAAAAAAAACUUCAACACUGGU